AUGGUGGCGACACGCCAAGGCUGGAGUACCCCGCUCCCCCGUCCUUCUCUCGCCGGCGUGGGAGCUCGUGGACGCCGAGGCGCAUGGACCCCGGGGCGUCCUCCUCCUCGUCCGACCGCUCUUCCGGCUCUCCCUGCCUCCGCCCCGUCAAGCCAGAGCCCCAGGACACGCCGGUCAGCCGGCGCACCCAUAGCUCCAGCGUCCGCAUCUAGGACUCCACCCCCGCCUCUGGCCGCCUCGUCCUCGUCAGGCCGAAGCCGGAGCCCGGCCUCCCUGCGGAGUACGAGAUAG
This 291-nucleotide ribosomal RNA is filed under the name Triticum aestivum (bread wheat). RNAcentral's name for it is "partial small subunit ribosomal RNA". The record is from RNAcentral. Lineage: Eukaryota; Viridiplantae; Streptophyta; Magnoliopsida; Poales; Poaceae.